Panthera uncia (snow leopard) is the source of this 5204-nucleotide RNA transcript. It is a transcript of the gene named gamma-parvin-like, with no coding region annotated. NCBI's taxonomy places the organism in Eukaryota, Metazoa, Chordata, Mammalia, Carnivora, Felidae. The transcript is spliced from 4 exons. The record is from RefSeq and is a predicted model, not a curated record.
CCCCCCCCACCACACACACACCCUGGUCCCUUCCUCCAGGCCCCUCCCCACACAUCCACAGCCCUGUCCAUCCGUGUCCCACCGACUCCUGGUCUCAGCGUCAGAGCCUACCCGCAGCCCGGUUCUCUCGCGUCUCCAGGCCUUUUGCCCAGAUGGCUCCUCUGCCUACCCUGCCUCCUGCUUCGUUCCCACCUGCUUAGCCGGGCUGUCGGUUCCGACCACCUCCGUGGCUCAUCCAGGCUCCUCGGUGUUUCAUAGGCCCCCGAACCACAGCUGUGCUCACAUCCUACUUCUGGCCUCACCUGGCCCUUUACCCCAUUUCAUCCCCACCCUGCACCCUUGCUGGGGGACAGGGCAGGGGUUGUGUCUCCAUUCGACAGAGGGGAAAGCUGAGGCCCGGAGAGGCUCUGGGGCUUGCCCAGGACCACUCCGCUGCUCAGUGGCAGGUCUGACAUGAGCACUGGCCUUCUGACCCUCAGCCUGCUCUUCUCCCCCUUGCACCACGGAGACGCGGUCUUCAGUGGGCACGGCCUCCACCUUCCCAGGAGGCAGGAGCGAGCUUGACUGGAAGAUUGAUUCGGGGCUCAGACUCUCAAGGGCUCGGCUCUAGGGUGAGGAGCUAAUCGGCUGGAGCCAUGCAGCGUUUGUGGUUCUAGAGGUAGGAGCAGGAACAGUGGGCUCACUGUUUGCCUCCAAAGCCAGAGCCUUCUCCCGGUUUCUGGGGAGUCAGGGUGAGCCCUAAGGGAGGCAGAGGGGGUGUGAGCCUCUCCGUGGCCAAGAGGGAGUCUUGCCCGAAGCUGCCGGAAGGCUCAGGAGGGUCAAGAGCCCAGCCGGGGCGGUGGUGUUCGCCCUGCACCCAGAAGGCAGGACACGGAGGCAGGAGAAGGCAGGAGAGCGGGGAGGCGGAUGGAGAAGUGAGGGCCACACGCAGGCCAGGGAGCCUUGGGAAGGGGCGCAGAACCAAGACCCGGGACGGCACAGGGGUCCCCUCUUUGUUCCUCGGCUGUCGGGCUCCAUGGGGACUUCAAAGCCUCCUCCCCGCAAUCGGCACCCUCACAAACCCCAUUACGAGCCAGGGACAAACGUCCUGACUCCUCACGUCCCCGGGUGCCGUCAGCCUGCCGAACCCACCGAUUUUAGAACCAGCUUCCCGCGAUGAGCCACAUUCCACACAGGGGAAGAGAAGCGGCCUCUGAGCUCAGACCCCCAAGCAUGGAUUUUUACUGUGGGAGGUCUCAGCUACGGGAGGGUGUGACCAAAAUGCCGAGAGGUCAUUAGCUGAAGAGGGCGGGAGCACCAGCCCUUUGCCGACGGUAGGACACCCGAGGCACCCUGAUCUUGGCGGAGCGGCCCCUCCACGUUGGCGGUCUCCUUAUCAGCCCUUCCUGGCCACCGGUGUUUUCGCGACACUGUCAUUCCUUUCGGGAAGACGAGCUCUAGGGACGGAGGGAGGGAGGCGACGGUCUGUUCUGCUGUAAGCAAAACACCAGUUCCGGGAAUCGUGGGCCUCCUCCCACGUUCAGUUAUUUCUCCCCGGGGGGAUUUGAGCGCAUCCUCCUGGGUUACAACCUUCCCCCCGCUCCGUGCAACGUGGUGCCUCUGUCACCAUCUCACCGUGCACGGAAGCGAGGUGACGCUUAGGGGGGAGCGCGGGAGACGGAUCUGGAGCCUGCGGCAGCUCCGCGGGGCUCGGGUCGAGCACGGGCUUGACAGGUUGAAGCAAGUGUGGUCGUUCUCGCAGUGUCGAUGGUGGCGGUUCUCAGAGCACAAAUUCCAUGGGGGUAGGGAGCCGGGGGGUGGGGUGGUUUUGCCCUUGUCGCACAGCCCGCCCACAGUAGGUGCUCACAAAUAUUUUUUAAAUAAGUGAAUGGACCAAGUGUUUCCAAAACACUGGUCCCCUGAGGGGCCCCAUGACAACUGGAUCCUACGGUCAAAUAACUUGGGCAACCAUGUGUUGUCUGGAAGGUUUGCAGUACGCCUUAGACAGUCAAGGCUCUGAGAAGUCCCGCAGCGAAGGAUUUCCAUCGUAUUUUUAGCUAACCUUUCCCCAACCCGUUUGGUCACAGACGCCCUUUCCCUCUAUGCCCUGGGUCAUGCUCUGGGAGACGCCGGUGUGGAGAGUGAGUCCAUCAAAGGCAGGGCUGGGAGGCGGGAGAGCACUGUGCCGAGGGUCCAGUCUCAGCCUCUCAUUCUGACGCUUACCUUGUGGGCAGCCGGUGACUAGUGUUCACGAUGAGAAUGUGAACAACAGCGGCCCUCAUUUUUUCAGAAUAUUCCGGGCUGGGGGGAAUCCUUGGGGACACAGUGACAGCAGCGAGCAAUGGAGCCGUGGCCUGCUCCCUCUGAGACUUCCUACCUGCGUCCGCACGGCCCCAGUUGUGUGUCCCACCUGCCCGGGGGCCUCGGCACCACUGACAGCCUGGGGCUCCUCCUGACCGGCUACAGCGCCGCCCCUCUCCCACUCUUGCGUCUCGGACCCCCCACCCCCCUGCCCGGGUCUCUGUCCAUUCUCUGCGGCAACACCUCUCCCCGUGCAGAGGGACCCCACAGACGGCCCGCCUUGUCCCCGCACAGCCUGCCGCGACCAGCCACCAGGGAGCGCUCCGCCCCUUGCCCCAGUUGCAGCGGGAGUCCUGGGGUGGGGGAUGGGGUGGAAGGUUCUCCCCGGCCCCGCCCAGUGUCCUCGGACCAGGACGGGGUAACCCACACCCCGCCCUCCCUCGGGAGAGCUCUCUUAGGGGCUUCGAGCCCCGUCCAGGUCGCAAGAGUCCUCCUACCCAGAGCCACUGGGAGGCCACCGGGCUGGGCCGGCUUCCCCAAGUGGCCUUGCUCGGCUGUUCCUCUGCCCGCUGGGCCUCUAGGCCACCGGUGAGGUUGCCAUGGGGACCGUGGGAAGCAGGCCGCGCGGCGGGGAUGGGGCCGCAUGGCUGGCCGCCAGUCGAGGCCUUCCGGGGCCCACGGUCGCCCUGUCGGGGGCCGAGACCAUUGAAGGGAGGGCCUGCUUGAAGUCACAGUGAAUGAGGGGUUUAGCUGCCUUCAGACCUGCUUCACCCCACCCCAUGCCGUUGCCGUCACCCCACACCAUCUCCUUCUAAGACACCAGGCUGCUGCCCCAAGAAGGGAAGGGACUUUUUGAUCAUAUCGAGGCCCCAGGGAGAAACUAGCCGUGAACAGGGAAAUCUCCGCUAACAGAGCGUCUCUUCAGGGCUCCCCAGGGCGCCCCGCCCAGCAUCCCGGAUCGGGACACGGGGGAAAUGGUGGGGACCCCGCUCUGCAGGGGCGCAAGGCAGGCCGGGGGAGCCUGGAGGUUGCCCGGCGACCGAGCAGGGGUCUGAGCCCAGGUGGGCCUGGGCAGGGGCGCUGCUCCAGCCUCCAGCCUGCUUUGCCCGGACAUCAGAGUGAGACGGACCUGGUUCUGACGCUCUCCGUCUUGUAAGCUCAGAGGAGCCCCUUGGCCACUCAGAACCUCAGUUUCCCCAUCUGUGCGUUGCCCCUGGAACUGAGCUGCUCCUGGUGGCGUCUCCGUUGCCCACAGCGUUGGGGCUGCAUCAGAAAAGCUGCACAAUGUCACCCUGGCCCUGGAGCUGCUCAAGGACGAAGGCCUGCUCAGCUACCCCAUCAACCCCGAAGACAUCGUGAACAAGGACACCAAGAGCACGUUACGCGUCCUCUACAGCCUGUUUCGCAAGCACAAGCUGAAAGAAAACGCCGACAGCACGCCCCGUGGAUCCCCGAAUUAACUGUCACUGCCCCCCCAAAGCUGCUUCUCUGAGCCUGCUUGCAGGACCCAAGGGAGGGCCCAAGGGCCACAGAGGGACCUCCCCCACCAUACAGCCGGCUGCCCUCUGUUUCCCUGUGUGUCUGUGGCACGCCUGCCCCUUCCCCCCAUCCCUGAUCCGUGUUUCCAUCCGAAUAUCUUUGAAUUCACUAGGCCUGGAUCUGUUUUGAACCAACCUCUGGCCUCACUCAGUUUACAGUAACUAAUGUAGUUCUGGGAGGGAUUGGGGGAGCCUGCGGUGCCCUGGGAAGGACCCUUCAAUAUGCAUAAGUACGAGCUGACCCCCCAAAGCAGUUCCCCUUUCCGUGGGGCGGGGCGUGGAAGGUUCUCAGGGCCUCAUCUCUGAGGGCAUCCGUGGGAGCAGCGAAGAGACCAAUGAUGCUGACCUUCACUCGGGCUCCUGUGUCCGACUUUGGGAGCAGAAAGGACUCUCAGGUGUCAGGGCUGAAGAUCGGAGGCCCCAGCCUGCCUCUGUCUCAGCGUGAUGGGCCCCAGGAUCACCAUCCAGAGGCAGGAGUCUCACCUGGCCCCCAAACCAAGCCCCCGAGCCCCUUGGGGGAAGUUAAUCCACUUACUUGCCAGAGGAGCCAUGGCCCAGAGCCACCCCUGCAGCUCGAUGGUGAGCCUUGCCCGGAAGUCACAAAGGAGAAAUCUUUGUGGCUGACGAGUAGGUCGGAUGGUCUCCUGGUCUGUCCCCAGGGAUGUGCCAUCACGUCACGCUGUCUCUGACCCAGCCAGAAAGUGGCCAUCUGCAAGCCGCGAGGAGGCCUCUCACCAGGAGCUGAACCUGCCGGCACCUUGACCUCGGACUUCCAGCCUCUAGAACCAUGAGCGAUGAAUGUCUGGCGUCUAAGCCCCCCGGUCUGCCGUGUGCUGUCACAGCAGCCUGAGCUGACCAACCCGGAUUCCCCAGACCGUCAUUCCUCAGGGAAGUAAAACCACCGGACAGCCCGCUGCGCACCUCCCGUCACAGCCAAGUUGAAGAGUCUGACGACAUCAAGUGUGGGCAAGGACGUGGAGCCCCGGGACCUGGCACACGUUGCGGGUGGGGAUGCGUGUGCGGCAAGGAGUUCGGCGGGUUCCUUCCGGACUAAAACAGACCCUCCUCGUCCGACCCGGCCGAUUCACGGCUAGGUGUUCAUCCGAGAGAAACGAAAACGUACGUCUACGCCAAGACCUGCACGCACAUGGCAGUGCUGUUCACAGACGCCUCAGAUCGGGAAGGACUCAGACGUCCGUCGCUGGCAAAGGCAUACACGGGUCACAGGGCGUCCGCGCACUGGGUUCUGCGUGGCCCCGAGGGAGGGGGUGCCGAUGCAGAGCCAGCGGGCAAGACCCCAGGAGCACGGGGCGGGUGACAGACGGGAGGCCCAGCAGGCGAUGCGCUGAUGCUACAGUUUGUAAGAAAUUCUAGAAAAGGCCAGAC